Puntigrus tetrazona (Sumatra barb) is the source of this 745-nucleotide long non-coding RNA. RefSeq lists it as uncharacterized. The transcript has 5 exons. The record is from RefSeq and is a predicted model, not a curated record. NCBI's taxonomy places the organism in Eukaryota, Metazoa, Chordata, Actinopteri, Cypriniformes, Cyprinidae.
UGAACCGGACCACAUGCGGACAGACGCCAUUUUACCUCUGUGCGAAGUGUGGUGUUCUAAGCAAAUUACUUUCUUUCGACUUACAAAACAGAAGUAUGGUUUGGGAAUUAUCACCUUGUUUCUGUCACUCGGAGAUCCCCAAGGGAGGAGUGGAUAUGGACAUUUUUAUGAUGGCCAAAAAAACACUGGAUUCUUGUCGUGGCGCCUCAAGACCGUACAAAGGGGGACAAAACCUGCAGAUAAGGAUGAUCCAAAAACAGGAAAAGGGAGGCCCUCUGCUUGACAGACAGCUGUGCUACUAUGAAGAUCAGCUGGAUAAUGACCAAAGUCUAGAGGCCAUCUCUUUGAUGAAUCAUACAAGUGAAAGUGAGGUCAUCAUGCAGAAGAUGAGGGCAACGCUUGAAUACAGACAGCGCCUUGUCCAUGAUCCAGAGAGGUCCACCACUGUUCUUUCAGUUUUUCCUUGAUUUCUGGAUACUAAAGGAUUGAUUCUUCAAGACUUCACGCUCCUCUUUGGGUCUGAAACUGCUUCCAGACUUUUGGAAAGGUGGCCAACAGCUUUCAAAGCAAUCAUCUUCCAAUCUGAACAGAGAAGGCAGUGAAGCCCAGGAUUCUCCAGAAUGGGACAGUGACAUAUCUUCCUUCCUUCCUUCCUUCUACUCCUGCAUCUUUUAUGACCCCAGGCUUCAGGAAGAAAGAAAACCCAAAAGAUCAGUAUCUCUCAGGCUGUUGACCAAGAUGGCGC